RNAcentral lists this ribosomal RNA (489 nucleotides) under uncultured bacterium. RNAcentral's name for it is "partial 16S ribosomal RNA". It matches the Rfam family "Bacterial small subunit ribosomal RNA", at positions 28 to 507 of the family's 1533-position model. The record is from RNAcentral.
GAUGAACGCUCGCUACAGGCUUAACACAUGCAAGUCGAGGGGCAGCAUGAUUGAAGCUUGCUUCAAUCGAUGGCGACCGGCGCACGGGUGAGUAACACGUAUCCAACCUGCCGAUAACUCGGGGAUAGCCUUUCGAAAGAAAGAUUAAUACCCGAUAGUAUAGUAUUUCCGCAUGGUUUCACUAUUAAAGAACUUCGGUUAUCGAUGGGGAUGCGUUCCAUUAGAUAGUUGGCGGGGUAACGGCCCACCAAGUCAACGAUGGAUAGGGGUUCUGAGAGGAAGGUCCCCCACAUUGGAACUGAGACACGGUCCAAACUCCUACGGGAGGCAGCAGUGAGGAAUAUUGGUCAAGGGACGAGAGUCUGAACCAGCCAAGUAGCGUGAAGGAUGACUGCCCUAUGGGUGGUAAACUUCUUUUAUACGGGAAUAAAGUGGAGUAUGCAUACUCCUUUGUAUGUACCGUAUGAAUAAGGAUCGGCUAACUCCGUG